AACGAACGCUGGCGGCAGGCCUAACACAUGCAAGUCGAACGCUCGUAGCAAUACGAGAGUGGCAGACGGGUGAGUAACACGUGGGAACCUUCCCUAUGGUUCGGAAUAGCCCAGGGAAACUUGGGGUAAUACCGGAUAAGCCCUUCGGGGAAGGAUUUAUCGCCAUUGGAUGGGCCCGCGUCGGAUUAGCUAGUUGGUGGGGUAACGGCCUACCAAGGCGACGAUCCGUAGCUGGUCUGAGAGGAUGAUCAGCCACAC
RNAcentral lists this ribosomal RNA (258 nucleotides) under uncultured bacterium. RNAcentral's name for it is "partial 16S ribosomal RNA". It matches the Rfam family "Bacterial small subunit ribosomal RNA", at positions 29 to 313 of the family's 1533-position model. The record is from RNAcentral.